RNAcentral lists this ribosomal RNA (229 nucleotides) under uncultured bacterium. RNAcentral's name for it is "partial 16S ribosomal RNA". It matches the Rfam family "Bacterial small subunit ribosomal RNA", at positions 568 to 796 of the family's 1533-position model. The record is from RNAcentral.
CGCGUAGGCGGCCGAAUAAGUCAGAUGUGAAAGCCCGGGGCUCAACCCCGGAAGUGCAUUUGAAACUGUUUGGCUUGAGUAUGGUAGAGGGAAGUGGAAUUCCAGGUGUAGCGGUGAAAUGCGUAGAUAUCUGGAGGAACACCGGUGGCGAAGGCGACUUCCUGGACCAAUACUGACGCUGAGGCGCGAAGGUGUGGGCAGCAAACAGGAUUAGAUACCCUGGUAGUCC